UACGUAGGGUGCGAGCGUUGUCCGGAAUUAUUGGGCGUAAAGAGCUCGUAGGCGGCUUGUCGCGUCGGAUGUGAAAGCCCGGGGCUUAACUCCGGGUCUGCAUUCGAUACGGGCAGGCUAGAGUUCGGUAGGGGAGAUCGGAAUUCCUGGUGUAGCGGUGAAAUGCGCAGAUAUCAGGAAGAACACCAAUGGCGAAGGCAGCUCUCUGGGACGGUACUGACGCUGAGACGCGAAAGCGUGGGGAGCGAACAGG
RNAcentral lists this ribosomal RNA (253 nucleotides) under uncultured bacterium. RNAcentral describes it as "partial 16S ribosomal RNA". It matches the Rfam family "Bacterial small subunit ribosomal RNA", at positions 524 to 776 of the family's 1533-position model. The record is from RNAcentral.